This 431-nucleotide ribosomal RNA is filed under the name uncultured bacterium. Its description in RNAcentral is "partial 16S ribosomal RNA". It matches the Rfam family "Bacterial small subunit ribosomal RNA", at positions 29 to 507 of the family's 1533-position model. The record is from RNAcentral.
AACGAACGCUGGCGGCAGGCUUAACACAUGCAAGUCGAGCGCCCCGACAGGGGAGCGGCAGACGGGUGAGUAACGCGUGGGAACGUACCUUUUGGUUCGGAACAACUCCGGGAAACUGGAGCUACUACCGGAUAAGCCCUAACGGGGAAAGAUUUAUCGCCGAACGAUCGGCCCGCGUCUGAUUAGCUGGUUGGUGAGGUCACGGCUCACCAAGGCGACGAUCUGUAGCUGGUCUGAGAGGAUGAUCAGCCACACUGGGACUGAGACACGGCCCAGACUCCUACGGGAGGCAGGAGUGGGGAAUAGUGGACAAUGGGCGCAAGCCUGAUCCAGCCAUGCCGCGUGAGUGAUGAAGGCCUUAGGGUUGUAAAGCGCUUUUGUCCGGGAAGAUAAUGACUGUACCGGAAGAAUAAGCCCCGGCUAACUUCGUG